AAGAGAAAUUGCCCCUUUGGGGUAGAUCUCCCACCCUUUGUUUACAUUUACCUUUGUUGCCUUGGCAGGCCCGUCUCGUGUGACCACCGGCUUAGGCUGGUCCGUGCCUGCCAGAGGACCUCAAAACUCUCUGAUUUCAUGUCGUCUGAGCACUAUAUAAUAGUUAA
This 167-nucleotide unclassified non-coding RNA is filed under the name uncultured Helotiales. Its description in RNAcentral is "sequence contains ITS1". The record is from RNAcentral. Lineage: Eukaryota; Fungi; Ascomycota; Leotiomycetes; Helotiales.